AUUGAACGCUGGCGGCAUGCCUUACACAUGCAAGUCGAACGGCAGCACGGGUGCUUGCACCUGGUGGCGAGUGGCGAACGGGUGAGUAAUACAUCGGAACGUACCUUAUCGUGGGGGAUAACGCAGCGAAAGCUGUGCUAAUACCGCAUACGCCCUGAGGGGGAAAGCGGGGGAUCGAAAGACCUCGCGCGAUUAGAGCGGCCGAUGCCUGAUUAGCUUGUUGGUGGGGUAAAAGCCCACCAAGGCGACGAUCAGUAGCCGGUCUGAGAGGACGAUCAGGCAAACUGGGACUAGGACACGGCCCAGACUCCUACGGGAGGCAGGAGUGGGGAAUUUUGGACAAUGGGGGCAACCCUGAUCCAGCAAUGCCGCGUGAGUGAAGAAGGCCUUCGGGUUGUAAAGCUCUUUUGUCAGGGAAGAAACACCGGCUCUAACACAGUCCGGGAAUGACGGUACCUGAAGAAUAAGCACCGGCUAACUACGUGCCAGCCGCCGCAGUAA
RNAcentral lists this ribosomal RNA (501 nucleotides) under uncultured bacterium. RNAcentral's name for it is "partial 16S ribosomal RNA". It matches the Rfam family "Bacterial small subunit ribosomal RNA", at positions 29 to 523 of the family's 1533-position model. The record is from RNAcentral.